This 90-nucleotide non-coding RNA is filed under the name Togula jolla. Lineage: Eukaryota; Dinophyceae; Gymnodiniales; Gymnodiniaceae. The record is from RNAcentral.
AUGCUCUCAAAGACCAAGGCAUCAAUAGCGCCUCCACAGCCUUCUCGCACUUCGGUCCUGAAGAGGAUCAAAAUGCUUUCACAGAGGAUU